CGCGAGUGAGGAAUUGGAUCACCGACAGCGAGAGGAGGACGAAAGGGGAAGGCCGGCGCGUGGUUUUCUGGGCCGAGAGAGACUGCGGACAGUAGUACGAGGUUUUGGCGUUUCGGGCAGCGAGCCUAUGUUUCUGUGGUUUUGUCAGUACCAGAAACGGAAAUGGUUCAGCGGCGCUCACUGACACGCAACGUCCUACUUGGCGUCCGGAAUUUUAGCCUUUUUCGUGAGUGCCCACUGCCCAACAACCUACUUGGCGUUUUGGGCAGCUAGCCUGUUUCCUCUCUAGUCAGCUCCUUGUUUGGUCCGAUACAAAAUUGUAGUAGUACUGUGGUAGUAGUGUGAUUUAUUUUCAGUACGACAAUCGGAAAUGGUUCAGCGGCUAGCUAUUUUUUUUUAGCUAGACAGACACGCAACAUCCGUUUGGGUUAGCUAGCCUUUUUCGUGAGGUUGCGGUCGAAAUUUUUUGCUCUCUUUUUUUUUGCCGGGAGCUUUGGCUUUGGUUCGUGAAGGGGAUCUUCGAAUUGACCGUGAAGAACAGAACGAGCAUGACCCGGUCCGUGUGGAGGUCAAAUUUACUAAAUACUGCUCAAUUCCCGGUGCCUGACCCAGGUUACAUUGAAAAUUUGGGGACUGAGGCGUUUGUCUCUGGUCAUCUAAAAAAAAAUUACUGCUAAAUUCCAGCAUAUUCUAUUUUUUUAUGCACACAGGAAGGGAACCUCGGAGAUGAGGGAAAGGGUCAUAUAUCUGGAUUUUUUGUUCUUCUGAGAAUCCCACGUAACUUUAUUCAAACUCGAAAACCAUCACAUGUGCAUACACACAAGAAGUCACAAAGCAACGU
This 841-nucleotide long non-coding RNA is filed under the name Brachypodium distachyon (stiff brome). RNAcentral describes it as "long non-coding RNA (BDIS_LNC005325)". Lineage: Eukaryota; Viridiplantae; Streptophyta; Magnoliopsida; Poales; Poaceae. The record is from RNAcentral.